UCUGUCCUGCAGAGGAAGGGCGGCCUGGCCACAGUGAGAGUCGGCCGUGGCGCGGGCGCUGUGAUUGCGGGUUGCGUGUCCCUGUGGGCGAGGGCGAGCGCGAGUGGAGGUCCAGGACAUUGCGCGCCUGGCCCAGAGUGGCUCGUCCAGCUCUGUGUCUUUUGGGGUCUGAGUGUGUGUGCGUGUCGUUUUGGCCGGUAACUUCAGACGAUUUCAUUUGUAGAGGAGAAUUAAUUCCAGGCACUUGAAAGAGCUUGACAAGUGCCCCAUUAUAUAAGAAAUCAAGGAAGGCUUCCAGCACAUAGGGUGGACCUCCUGUGAUGGACAUACAGGAAGACAUGAACAAGAAUCCAUUCAGGUGGAAGUCAUCUCCCCUCAACUGAUGUGUUUCCCUUACUUGUAAGAUGAAGGGAUUGAACCAGAUGGUCCCAAAGAGCCCUUGCAACUUCAAAUUUGGAAGUGGAAGGAAUUAGGUGGUUAUGUACCUGAGCAAGAAGUUUUAAGGUGCUAUGGGUACCACAGGUUUUCUAGUUCAUGUAAUUAAAUAUAUGGCAUUAAAGAAGAUAGGAAAUCAAGAAGGCUGCAAACACUACAUAUUAUGGACAAACCUUUUCCACACACAAAUAUA
Long non-coding RNA from Dromiciops gliroides (monito del monte), 628 nucleotides. RefSeq lists it as uncharacterized. The transcript is spliced from 3 exons. The record is from RefSeq and is a predicted model, not a curated record. NCBI's taxonomy places the organism in Eukaryota, Metazoa, Chordata, Mammalia, Microbiotheria, Microbiotheriidae.